GAUGAACGCUGGCGGCGUGCCUAAUACAUGCAAGUCGAGCGAACAGACGAGGAGCUUGCUCCUCUGACGUUAGCGGCGGACGGGUGAGUAACACGUGGAUAACCUACCUAUAAGACUGGGAUAACUUCGGGAAACCGGAGCUAAUACCGGAUAAUAUAUUGAACCGCAUGGUUCAAUAGUGAAAGACGGUUUUGCUGUCACUUAUAGAUGGAUCCGCGCCGCAUUAGCUAGUUGGUAAGGUAACGGCUUACCAAGGCAACGAUGCGUAGCCGACCUGAGAGGGUGGUAGGCCACACUGGAACUGAGACACGGUACAGACUCCUACGGGAGGCAGCAGUAGGGAAUCUUCCGCAAUGGGCGAAAGCCUGACGGAGCAACGCCGCGUGAGUGAUGAAGGUCUUCGGAUCGUAAAACUCUGUUAUUAGGGAAGAACAAAUGUGUAAGUAACUAUGCACGUCUUGACGGUACCUAAUCAGAAAGCCACGGCUAACUACGUG
This 497-nucleotide ribosomal RNA is filed under the name uncultured bacterium. RNAcentral describes it as "partial 16S ribosomal RNA". It matches the Rfam family "Bacterial small subunit ribosomal RNA", at positions 28 to 507 of the family's 1533-position model. The record is from RNAcentral.